Molecule: ribosomal RNA, 427 nt
Filed under: uncultured bacterium
Lineage: Bacteria
Description: partial 16S ribosomal RNA
Rfam family: Bacterial small subunit ribosomal RNA
Source: RNAcentral
UGGGGAAUAUUGCACAAUGGGCGCAAGCCUGAUGCAGCCAUGCCGCGUGUGUGAAGAAGGCCUUCGGGUUGUAAAGCACUUUCAGCGAGGAGGAAGGCAGUCGUGUUAAUAGCACGAUUGAUUGACGUUACUCGCAGAAGAAGCACCGGCUAACUCCGUGCCAGCAGCCGCGGUAAUACGGAGGGUGCAAGCGUUAAUCGGAAUUCCUGGGCGUAAAGCGCACGCAGGCGGUUUGUUAAGUCAGAUGUGAAAUCCCCGCGCUUAACGUGGGAACUGCAUUUGAAACUGGCAAGCUAGAGUCUUGUAGAGGGGGGUAGAAUUCCAGGUGUAGCGGUGAAAUGCGUAGAGAUCUGGAGGAAUACCGGUGGCGAAGGCGGCCCCCUGGACAAAGACUGACGCUCAGGUGCGAAAGCGUGGGGAGCAAACA